RNAcentral lists this ribosomal RNA (425 nucleotides) under uncultured bacterium. RNAcentral's name for it is "partial 16S ribosomal RNA". It matches the Rfam family "Bacterial small subunit ribosomal RNA", at positions 354 to 796 of the family's 1533-position model. The record is from RNAcentral.
GUGGGGAAUAUUGGACAAUGGGCGCAAGCCUGAUCCAGCCAUGCCGCGGGAGUGAUGAAGGCCCUAGGCUUGUAAAGCUCUUUCACCGAUGAAGAUAAUGACGGUAGUCGGAGUAGAAGCGCCGGCUAACUUCGUGCCAGCAGCCGCGGUAAUACGAAGGGGGCUAGCGUUGUUCGGAAUUACUGGGCGUAAAGCGCACGUAGGCGGAUAUUUAAGUCAGGGGUGAAAUCCCAGAGCUCAACUCUGGAACUGCCUGUGAUACUGGGUAUCUCGAGUAUGGAAGAGGUGAGUGGAAUUCCGAGUGUAGAGGUGGAGUUCGUAGAUAUUAGGAAGAGCACCAGAGGCGAAGGCGGCUCACUGGUCCGGUACUGACGCUGAGGUGCGAAAGCGUGGGGAGCAAACAGGAUUAGAAACCCGAGUAGUCC